GCUAUGAUGUUAUCCUGAAUUCAGACAACCAUCAUUCAUACCAUUCCUUGUUAGCAUUUCAAAUUAAGGAGUCAACUGAAUGAGAAAUUUGUCCUCACAUGGAAGACAAGCAUCCCAUAAGCUUCAUCAAUUCUGCAACUUGUUAAAGCAGGUCAUAUGUCGCAGCAUCUUACACAAUGGAGGCAAUGGAGGCAGUUUCCAAGAAAGAAUGCAGUCUAGUAUAAACUGUGACAGGCCCUAGAUAACUUGAAAGUCUGCUUUACACAAAAGAUAAAGAUAAGAACCUCUCUGCUUGGUAAUAGGUACUUUGGUAGAUCAUAAGUAUACAAAUUAUGAACAAUUUAAAGUCAUCAUGAUAAAUAGGUAGAGGCUAUUAAAAAAGUAAAAUAUAAACCAUGGAAAGGUCGCGUCCCAUUUUUAGAAAAGUGUAAUUUAUACCAGUUGCAAUUGAUAACUUAACAUUGGUAUAAAUGUUUAGUGAUAACACUUAUUUUAUGAUUUAGCUAAAGGUUUA
Long non-coding RNA from Vicia villosa (hairy vetch), 514 nucleotides. RefSeq lists it as uncharacterized. NCBI's taxonomy places the organism in Eukaryota, Viridiplantae, Streptophyta, Magnoliopsida, Fabales, Fabaceae. The transcript is spliced from 3 exons. The record is from RefSeq and is a predicted model, not a curated record.